CUCAUUAAGCUACCAUGGCAAUGCCGAAUGGAUGGAGGGAGAGAUUUGGGAGGGAGAGGAGGGAGGGAGGAAGAGAGAGACUGGGAGAGAGAGAGAGGGGGGAAGAGAGAGACAGAGACAGAGAGAGAGAAAGACAGAGAGAGACUGUGGAGGGUGGUAUAUGGUGGUAUAGGGUGGUAUAGGGUGGUAUAUGGUGGUAUAUGGUGAUAUAGGGUGGUAUAGGGUGGUAUAUGGUGGUAUAUGGUGGUAUAGGGUGGUAUAUGGGUGGUAUAUGGUGGUAUAGGGUGGUAUAUGGUGGUAUAGGGUUGUAUAUGGUGGUAUAGGGUGGUAUAUGGUGGUAUAGGGUGGUAUAGGGUGGUAUAGGGUGGUAUAGGGUGGUAUAGGGUGAUAUAGGGUGGUAUAGGGUGGUAUAUGGUGAUAUAGGGUGGUAUAGGGUGGUAUAUGGUGGUAUAUGGUGGUAUAGGGUGGUAUAUGGUGUUUUCGUGACCCCGAAGGAGGGAUUCAUCAAAGGUGUUGGUAACGCUUUUAAAUCCCAUUAACAUUAUUUAUAUCUUAGAUAUGACAGAUCCUUAGAACAUUCAUGUACAUUAUAAUAUGUAUGUAUAAAUAUGUUAAGCAUAUUAUGUACUCACAUUGGAUUUAUUCAGUGUGU
Oncorhynchus tshawytscha (Chinook salmon) is the source of this 652-nucleotide long non-coding RNA. The record is from Ensembl. Lineage: Eukaryota; Metazoa; Chordata; Actinopteri; Salmoniformes; Salmonidae.